GAUGAACGCUGGCGGCGUGCCUAAUACAUGUAAGUCGAGCGAACGGACGAGAAGCUUGCUUUUCUGAUGUUAGCGGCGGACGGGUGAGUAACACGUGGAUAACCUACCUAUAAGACUGGGAUAACUUCGGGAAACCGGAGCUAAUACCGGAUAAUAUUUUGAACCGCAUGGUUCAAAAGUGAAAGACGGUCUUGCUGUCACUUAUAGAUGGAUCCGCGCUGCAUUAGCUAGUUGGUAAGGUAACGGCUUACCAAGGCAACGAUGCAUAGCCGACCUGAGAGGGUGAUCGGCCACACUGGAACUGAGACACGGUCCAGACUCCUACGGGAGGCAGCAGUAGGGAAUCUUCCGCAAUGGGCGAAAGCCUGACGGAGCAACGCCGCGUGAGUGAUGAAGGUCUUCGGAUCGUAAAACUCUGUUAUUAGGGAAGAACAUAUGUGUAAGUAACUGUGCACAUCUUGACGGUACCUAAUCAGAAAGCCACGGCUAACUACGUG
RNAcentral lists this ribosomal RNA (497 nucleotides) under uncultured bacterium. RNAcentral's name for it is "partial 16S ribosomal RNA". It matches the Rfam family "Bacterial small subunit ribosomal RNA", at positions 28 to 507 of the family's 1533-position model. The record is from RNAcentral.